This 439-nucleotide ribosomal RNA is filed under the name uncultured bacterium. Its description in RNAcentral is "bacterial SSU rRNA". It matches the Rfam family "Bacterial small subunit ribosomal RNA", at positions 27 to 507 of the family's 1533-position model. The record is from RNAcentral.
GGGACGAACGCUGGCGGUGUGCUUCACACAUGCAAGUCGAACGAGGUAGCAAUACCUAGUGGCGGACGGGUGAGUAACGCGUGGGAAUCUGCCCAUAGGUGGGGGAUAACUAGCCGAAAGGUUAGCUAAUACCGCAUAUGCCGAGAGGUAAAAGGAGUAAUCCGCCUUUGGAUGAGCCCGCGUCCGAUUAGCUAGUUGGUAGGGUAAAAGCCUACCAAGGCUACGAUCGGUAGCUGGUCUGAGAGGAUGAUCAGCCACAAUGGGACUGAGACACGGCCCAUACUCCUACGGGAGGCAGCAGUGGGGAAUUUUACGCAAUGGGGGAAACCCUGACGUAGCGACACCGCGUGAACGAAGAAGCCCUUUGGGGUGUAAAGUUCUGUCGGCUGGAACGAAAAAAAUGACGGUACCAGCAAAGGAAGCAUCGGCUAACUACGUG